This 470-nucleotide ribosomal RNA is filed under the name uncultured bacterium. Its description in RNAcentral is "bacterial SSU rRNA". It matches the Rfam family "Bacterial small subunit ribosomal RNA", at positions 39 to 504 of the family's 1533-position model. The record is from RNAcentral.
GCGGCAGGCCUAACACAUGCAAGUCGAGGGGCAGCACGAGUAGCAAUACUUGGUGGCGACCGGCGCAAGGGUGCGUAACGCGUGAGCAACAUGCCCGUAUCAGGGGAAUAAUCUAGGGAAACUUAGUCUAAUACCCCAUAGCAUUAUUAAUCGGCAUCGAUUUAUAAUUAAAGCUUUGGUGGAUACGGAUUGGCUCGCGUGACAUUAGUUAGAUGGUAAGGUAACGGCUUACCAUGACUAUGAUGUCUAGGGGUUCUGAGAGGAAGAUCCCCCACACUGGAACUGAGACACGGUCCAGACUCCUACGGGAGGCAGCAGUGAGGAAUAUUGGACAAUGGAUGGAAAUCUGAUCCAGCCAUGCCGCGUGCAGGAAGACGGUCCUAUGGAUUGUAAACUGCUUUUAUAUGGGAGCAAUAAGGUCUUUGCGAAGACUGAUGAGAGUACCAUAUGAAUAAGCAUCGGCUAACUCC